Long non-coding RNA from Pygocentrus nattereri (red-bellied piranha), 2739 nucleotides. RefSeq lists it as uncharacterized. NCBI's taxonomy places the organism in Eukaryota, Metazoa, Chordata, Actinopteri, Characiformes, Serrasalmidae. The record is from RefSeq and is a predicted model, not a curated record. The transcript is spliced from 3 exons.
CUGUGAGUGAGGAAGAGAGUACAGGUGAGUGCUGUGAGAGUACAGGUGAGUGAGGAAGAGAGUACAGGUGAGUGAGGAAGAGAGUACAAGUGAGUGCUGUGAGUACAGGUGAGUGAGUAAGAGAGUACAGGUGAGCGUGGAUCAGGUAGAAGGUCAGUCUACAGGUGAGUGAGGAUCAGGUAGAAGGUCCGUCUGCAGGUGAGGGUGAAUCAGGUCAGAAGUGAAGGUACAGGUGAGUGUGGAUCAGGGAGGUCAGUCUUCAGGUGAGAGUGAAUCAGGUCUAAAGUGAGGUUGCAGGUCUGAAGUGAAGGUACAGGUGAGUGUGGAUCAGGGAGGUCAGUCUUCAGGUGAGAGUGAAUCAGGUCGAAAGUGAGGUUGCAGGUCUGAAGUGAAGGUACAGGUGAGUGUGGAUCAGGUAGAAGGUCAGUCUGCAGGUGAGAGUGAAUCGGGUCUGAAGUGAAGGUACAGGUGAUUGUGGAUCAGGGAGAAGGUCAGUCGGCAGGUGAGAGUGAAUCUUGUCUGAAGUGAAGGUACAGGUGAGUGUGGAUCAGGGAGAAGGGCAGCCUGCAGGUGAGAGUGAAUCAGGUCGAAAGUGAGGUUGCAGGUCUGAAGUGAAGGUACAGGUUAGUGUGGAUCAGGGAGGUCAGCCUGCAGGUGAGAGUGAAUCAGGUCGAAAGUGAGGUUGCAGGUCUGAAGUGAAGGUACAGGUGAGUGUGGAUCAGGUAGAAGGUCAGUCUGCAGGUGAGAGUGAAUCGGGUCUGAAGUGAAGGUACAGGUGAGUGUGGAUCAGGGAGAAGGUCAGUCUGCAGGUGAGAGUGAAUCUGGUCUGAAGUGAAGGUACAGGUGAGUGUGGAUCAGGGAGAAGGUCAGUCUGCAGGUGAGAUUGAAUCGGGUCUGAAGUGAAGGUACAGGUGAGUGUGGAUCAGGGAGAAGGUCAGUCUGCAGCUGAGAGUGAAUCGGGUCUGAAGUGAAGGUACAGGUGAGUGUGGAUCAGGGAGAAGGUCAGUCUGCAGGUGAGAGUGAAUCGGGUCAGAAGUGAAGGAACAGGUGAGUGUGGAUCAGGGAGAAGGUCAGUCUGCAGGUGAGAGUGAAUCGGGUCUGAAGUGAAGGUACAGGUGAGUGUGGAUCAGGGAGAAGGUCAGUCUGCAGGUGAGAGUGAAUCGGGUCUGAAGUGAAGGUACAGGUGAGUGUGGAUCAGGGAGAAGGUCAGUCUGCAGGUGAGAGUGAAUCGGGUCUGAAGUGAAGGUACAGGUGAGUGUGGAUCAGGGAGAAGGUCAGUCUGCAGGUGAGAGUGAAUCGGGUCUGAAGUGAAGGUACAGGUGAGUGUGGAUCAGGGAGAAGGUCAGUCUGCAGGUGAGAGUGAAUCGGGUCUGAAGUGAAGGUACAGGUGAGUGUGGAUCAGGGAGGUCAGUCUUCAGGUGAGAGUGAAUCAGGUCUAAAGUGAGGUUGCAGGUCUGAAGUGAAGGUACAGGUGAGUGUGGAUCAGGGAGAAGGUCAGUCUGCAGGUGAGAGUGAAUCGGGUCUGAAGUGAAGGUACAGGUGAGUGUGGAUCAGGGAGAAGGUCAGUCUGCAGGUGAGAGUGAAUCGGGUCUGAAGUGAAGGUACAGGUGAGUGUGGAUCAGGGAGAAGGUCAGUCUGCAGGUGAGAGUGAAUCGGGUCUGAAGUGAAGGUACAGGUGAGUGUGGAUCAGGGAGAAGGUCAGUCUGCAGGUGAGAGUGAAUCGGGUCUGAAGUGAAGGUACAGGUGAGUGUGGAUCAGGGAGAAGGUCAGUCUGCAGGUGAGAGUGAAUCGGGUCUGAAGUGAAGGUACAGGUGAGUGUGGAUCAGGGAGAAGGUCAGCCUGCAGGUGAGAGUGAAUCAGGUGGAAAGUGAGGUUGCAGGUCUGAAGUGAAGGUACAGGUGAGUGUGGAUCAGGGAGAAGGUCAGUCUGCAGGUGAGAGUGAAUCGGGUCUGAAGUGAAGGUACAGGUGAGUGUGGAUCAGGGAGAAGGUCAGUCUGCAGGUGAGAGUGAAUCGGGUCUGAAGUGAAGGUACAGGUGAGUGUGGAUCAGGGAGAAGGUCAGUCUGCAGGUGAGAGUGAAUCGGGUCUGAAGUGAAGGUACAGGUGAGUGUGGAUCAGGGAGAAGGUCAGUCUGCAGGUGAGAGUGAAUCGGGUCUGAAGUGAAGGUACAUGUGAGUGUGGAUCAGGGAGAAGGUCAGUCUGCAGCUGAGAGUGAAUCGGGUCUGAAGUGAAGGUACAGGUGAGUGUGGAUCAGGGAGAAGGUCAGUCUGCAGGUGAGAGUGAAUCUUGUCUGAAGUGAAGGUACAGGUGAGUGUGGAUCAGGGAGAAGGUCAGCCUGCAGGUGAGAGUGAAUCAGGUGGAAAGUGAGGUUGCAGGUCUGAAGUGAAGGUACAGGUGAGUGUGGAUCAGGUAGAAGGUCAGUCUGCAGGUGAGAGUGAAUCUUGUCUGAAGUGAAGGUACAGGUGAGUGUGGAUCAGGGAGAAGGUCAGCCUGCAGGUGAGAGUGAAUCAGGUGGAAAGUGAGGUUGCAGGUCUGAAGUGAAGGUACAGGUGAGUGUGGAUCAGGUAGAAGGUCAGUCUGCAGGUGAGAGUGAAUCGGGUCUGAAGUGAAGGUACAGGUGAUUGUGGAUCAGGGAGAAGGUCAGUCUGCAGGUGAGAGUGAAUCUUGUCUGAAGUGAAGGUACAGGUGAGUGUGGAUCAGGGAGAAGGGCAGCCUGCAGGUGAGAGUGAAUCAGGUGGAA